AGCGAACGUUAGCGGCGGGCCUAACACAUGCAAGUCGAGCGAGAAAGUGGCUUCGGCCAUCAGUAAAGCGGCGGACGGGUGAGUAACACGUAGGUAAUCUUCCCUUGAGCGGGGGACAACGUUUCGAAAGGAACGCUAAUACCGCAUACGUUUCUGGGGACUCCGGUCUCUGGAAGGAAAGCUAGGUCGCAAGGAUCCGGCACUCGAGGAGGAGCCUGCGUCGCAUCAGCUAGUUUGGNGGGGUAACGGCCUACCAAGGCGAAGACGCGUAGCUGGUCUGAGAGGAUGAUCAGCCACACUGGGACUGA
RNAcentral lists this ribosomal RNA (308 nucleotides) under uncultured bacterium. RNAcentral's name for it is "bacterial SSU rRNA". It matches the Rfam family "Bacterial small subunit ribosomal RNA", at positions 29 to 322 of the family's 1533-position model. The record is from RNAcentral.